Molecule: transfer RNA, 71 nt
Filed under: Pellona flavipinnis (yellowfin river pellona)
Lineage: Eukaryota; Metazoa; Chordata; Actinopteri; Clupeiformes; Pristigasteridae
Description: tRNA-Gly
Rfam family: tRNA
About the family: Transfer RNA (tRNA) molecules are approximately 80 nucleotides in length. Their secondary structure includes four short double-helical elements and three loops (D, anti-codon, and T loops). Further hydrogen bonds mediate the characteristic L-shaped molecular structure. tRNAs have two regions of fundamental functional importance: the anti-codon, which is responsible for specific mRNA codon recognition, and the 3' end, to which the tRNAs corresponding amino acid is attached (by aminoacyl-tRNA synthetases). tRNAs cope with the degeneracy of the genetic code in two manners: having more than one tRNA (with a specific anti-codon) for a particular amino acid; and 'wobble' base-pairing, i.e. permitting non-standard base-pairing at the 3rd anti-codon position.
Source: RNAcentral
AUCUUUCUAGUACAAGGACAAUACGGGUGGCUUCCAACCACUUAAUCUUGGUUUAACUCCAAGGAAAGAUA